RNAcentral lists this ribosomal RNA (500 nucleotides) under uncultured bacterium. RNAcentral describes it as "partial 16S ribosomal RNA". It matches the Rfam family "Bacterial small subunit ribosomal RNA", at positions 29 to 523 of the family's 1533-position model. The record is from RNAcentral.
AUUGAACGCUGGCGGCAUGCCUUACACAUGCAAGUCGAACGGCAGCACGGGAGCAAUCCUGGUGGCGAGUGGCGAACGGGUGAGUAAAGUAUCGGAACGUGCCCAGUCGUGGGGGAUAACGUAGCGAAAGUUACGCUAAUACCGCAUACGAUCUAUGGAUGAAAGCGGGGGAUCGCAAGACCUCGCGCGAUUGGAGCGGCCGAUAUCAGAUUAGGUAGUUGGGGGGGGAAAGGCUCACCAAGCCGACGAUCUGUAGCUGGUCUGAGAGGACGACCAGCCACACUGGGACUGGGAGACGGCCCAGACCCCUACGGGAGGCAGCGGUGGGGAAUUUGGGACAAUGGGCGAAAGCCUGAUCCAGCCAUGCCGCGUGCAGGAUGAAGGCCUUCGGGUUGUAAACUGCUUUUGUACGGAACGAAAAGGUUUGGGCUAAUAAGCUGAGCUCAUGACGGUACCGUAAGAAUAAGCACCGGCUAACUACGUGCCAGCCGCCGCCGUAA